Bactrocera oleae (olive fruit fly) is the source of this 4988-nucleotide long non-coding RNA. RefSeq lists it as uncharacterized. Lineage: Eukaryota; Metazoa; Arthropoda; Insecta; Diptera; Tephritidae. The record is from RefSeq and is a predicted model, not a curated record.
AAACGAUACUCGUGGAAAACACGUGUGUGCGCCAUUGGGUUUGCAGCACCCCUAGCGACUUUUUCGCGAAUAGUCGAUAUUAAUGGCGACGUUAACAACGAGCCCAUUGGCUAAAAAUUUCGGCUACGUCGGCUUUAACAUCGACAAACGGACAGAUGGAACGAACGUUUCGUUGUCAACCAUCAUCUGUUGUUCUCUUGAAGCCACGCGACACUUCAACACUUGGCUGGCUAUAUGUCAUGCUAAUCGAAAUAAAAUUUAAAAACUAAAUUGCUAACCAUCACUUUUUUGUUGUUGUAAUUUACAUUUUCACUAUGUUAUGUACGGUUUACAAUUUGCAAACUGAUAUAUUUCUUAUUUUUAAACAUUAUGAACUUUUAUGUGGGCUUGUUUUUGUUGUUGCUGGUUAUAAUAAUUUUAUUUCUUUUCUCUUUUUUGUGGGAAAUGCUUCGUUUUGAUUACACUUAAUUUUUUUUUAUAUUUUAGUUUAAUUAUACUCAUAGCUAUGUGUUUCUGUACAUAUUUGUGCCUUUAGUAAGUUCUACACAAAUAUGCGGAUUUUUUUUAUUAUUAUCUUUCAUUUUAUUGAUAAAAAUCGUACCGCAAAUGUUUUAUACUCACUAAUAACGUGUCAUACGCUUUUAAAACCAGCCUAUCCUAUUUCAAUUACACGCUUCUACUGUGAAAUUGCCAAAAAACAAGAAAAAUCGUUAAAUUCGGUUCCAAUAAAUCGUCAUAAAGCAGAAGAAAACAUAACUGGGUUUCGAUCGCUGUUUGUAUAGCAUCUAUAUGCUCUAGUAGUCCGAUCGUUGCAUUGGACAAUAACCUAUGCCAAAGUUUGCAUAGCAUAUACUCAAAUGAAAAACUUUUGCAUACAAGAACUGGAUUUGGAUUGUUGUUUGUAUGGCAACUACAUAUGUACAUAUAUGCUGAUGGUAUGUUCCGAUAUCGUCGAUUCCGACAAAUGAGCAGCUUCUUGGAGAGAAGAGGACGUGUGAGAGAUUUCAGAUCGAUAUCACUGAGGAACUAGUUCCCGUAUAUAAAAACAGACAGACAGGCAGACGGCCAUGGCUAAAUCGACUCAGCUGGGUAUGCUGAUCAUUUAUAUACAUCUUAUAGGGUCUAUGACGUUUCCUGGUGUUACAAACUUCGUGGCAAACUUAAUAUACCCUAUUCAGGGUAUAAGAAUAAUAAAAUUUUGAACAGUCAAGCACUUUGCUGGUAUUCUGCAAUGCAGUUAUCGGACUUAUGAUUAAACAGUUGCACACAAGCGUCAAAUUAUGCAAGCUUGCCUUAAAUCUAUGUUAUUUCGUAUUGAAGUAGCUUGUCAAGUCAGUGAUUAUAUGUUAUUAGUAUACCUAUUUUGUAUGAAUUUCGUAUAAUGAAAACUGUAUGUAUUAUAUAUAUGUAUUCUUGUAACUACUAAUGUAUACAGCUCGUCGUUUGUAGUACAUGCUACACUCUUACAACACUUAUGCUUAUUACUUUUAAUAGUAAAUCAGUCAAUUCGUUAUUAAGUAUAUGUAUGAUAAACUGUAAUCAAUCAGAAACUGUCAAAUGCUUAGAAAUUGUAAUUUCGUCUAACUUUUUUUAUUAAUCGUAUUUAAACUAACGACUUCCCCAUCCUAAUUUAUAUUUUUAAUUGAAAUAGAAUAAAUCAAUAGUUUUGUUACUAACGCUAUAUUAUUUCGUUCGUCGACACAUUUGUUGUUCGUUUGUUUCGUAAGCAAACUCUCAAUGAUAUAAAAAGUACAAAAUAGCGGUUACAGGAUACGUUCAUCGGUAAUUAUGCAUGUAUAUGUAUAUGAAUAUCACCUAAAAGUUUGGUUAUUUCUGCUGUAAUGCGGGCGUCAACAUUAAGUUUAUUUUUGGUUCAAAACAAAUAAUAGAGAAUCUUUCUUAAACAAACAUAUUUAUCUUAGAGGAAUUCCAUUUCUUAUGCAAAAUUUCUACUUCAUGUAUAAUAGAGAUUUUAGUAUUUAUUUGUAUAUAAAAUAACAAAUUAUGCAGCAAUAAUACCGCUAAUGCUAUGUACAUACUUAUGUAUAUUGAAAUGUAGUUCCGACUUAUUGGUACCAGUUACGGUACUUUUAUUUCUAUAUUUCGUGAAUACAAAUAAUUUAAAAAUUAUUAGAAUUAACCGUUGAACGACUUGAUACUUGAACUAUUUUCUGUUUAAUCGUACACCAUAAAAAUUUAUACUACGCACAUUCGUUAAUUGAAAUUUGAAAUGAAUAUACACUGCUGUAUAAGUACUGUUAGAAUUAUGCUUGUAUGUGCGUGUGUGUGGAUGCAAAUAAUGGCUUAAAAUAAUUAUUGAAUUAACAAAUGUUUUCUAUUUUGUAAUCCCGAAAAUCUUAACUGAAACAAAUUUUUAAUAACUAAUGCCGUUUUAAAUAAAAAAACCAAAAUUGGAAAAAGUAUAAAUAAAAGUGAAAUUUAUAUAAAAAAAUUUUUUUUUUUUAAUUAAAAUAUUAAUAAAUUAAAACAAUUUAUUAAAAAAAAUUUAUAAAAACUAAAGAAAAUCUUGGAGUUUUAAUUUAAUAGUAAAAGUUUAAAAUUGAAAAAUGGUAACAUCAAGCUUAUAAUUAAAAAUUAAAAAAGAAAUUGUUUUAGAAUUUACUUUCUCGGCGUUUGCGUGCUUCGUAUUGAAUCAUUUUGUUAUCUUUUGAACAGGAAAGCUUAUUGUUAAUGAAAUAUCAAUAUAGUUAAGCUUUUUCUGUCUUACUUAUGUAUAUUAAAUUGCUUUUAUAUUAUAGUGUUUCAGUACAAAAUAUGUAAACCUUUCAUUUUUUAACCCUUUUCAUUCCAGUUUUUAAUUUGAAAAAAAAUUUUUUUUUUACUUUGCUGUUCUAAUUUUGAAAUUAAAAAUUUUUUUCUCAAUUUCUAAUCAAAGAUUUUUGGGAAUUUUUAAUCCAAAAUUUUUUAAUUGAAAAAUUCGGAGUCCUUUGUAUGGUAUGUAGGUAACAAAUGUAAAGAAACAAUAUAUACUUUUUGGUAAAGUUAGACAAUUCGCCGCUUUUCACAUGUUCUAUUUUAGUUUCACUCCAUUGAUCACCAAUAAAUAUGCUUCAUAUGUCACGUGCACGCACUUGCAAUAAUGUGUUAUGGGGUACAACAGCGUCUGGCUUUUUGAAAUUACUUGUAUCAAAAGAGAAGCAACCCAUGUUUCCUAACAAAUAAUUUUACUCAUUUUGACAUUUUGAAAUAAUUAGCUAUUGCUUCCGCCUCAUUACUUCCUUAAUAUAUAUAUGUAUAUAUAUAAAUAUAUAAUAGUUUGAAAACUUGUAAAGAAAAUGAUCUUAAAACGCACUUAAAUUUUAUUAGCAGUAAUUCACCUCAAUUUAUUUUGUUUAAUCUGUCAAUAUUGCUAACUGAAUACGAAAGCAUAACAUUGCAGCAAUUAUAACAACAUACCAAAGAUUUGCCUCAAGGCUCAUAUGUAUUACCUAUGCUUGCCUCCCGCUUCAUUAAACUCAUGUUUGGUUAAAUAGUAUUUCAUUUAGUUACGAUAUUUGAUAAUAAGUAUGUAUGCAUGUAUUUAAAUAUAUAUGUAUAUAUUAAUACAUAUGUAUGUAUAUAUUUAUAUAUUCAAUUAAAAUUUAAACUUUAAAAUUUAUAGUAAAUCAUAAUCAUUAAAGAAAUUGUUUUACAAUUAACAGUCAGUGUGUUGGUUUUGUGUUUAAUCCUCUUUUACUUUACGUUACGUUUACUUUAACUUUGCAUCAAGUGGUUGCUUGUUUUUGUUUUUUUUUUUUAAUUUAGUUUUACGUUAAAAUUUUAUACUAGCGUACAUUAAAUUUAGAGUUGUUUCAUUUGUAAUUGUAAUUUAGCAUUCGUUCUAUCAAAUAUGUAAUCUUAUUUUGUUUUGUUAAAUUAGUUAUCAUUAUGUUACGAUUAAUUUUACAUAAAUUUAAAUGUAUGUGGUAGAUAAUAAAUUGUAUUUUUUCUUUGUUUUUUUUUUCUUGUAUUCUCCAUUUAAAUGUAAUUUAGUUAUGUAUGCUUUUAAAGUAUGUUUGUGUUUACAGUAAUUUAUUUUUAUAUUUAAUUUAAUAAUUACGUCAGGUUUUCUUGUUAUAAUAUAAUAUUAGCGUUUAUUUUUUGCUUUUUUUAUUUGUUUGAGGCUCGCAUCAGUGAUAUUUGUGAACACUAGCUACCACCAUUUUGUUGCCGUUUAAAAUAUAUUAGAAUCUGUAUAUUUUUUUUAUUUAGCUUAUACCUUGUAACAUCUUUAUUCGUAAGCAUAUUCAAUUUAGCUGAACUGGGUCGCGAAGUUAACAUAAAAAAGGCAUUUACAGUUCACAUGAAACGCGGCAAAAAACUUAGAGAAAAAAAGUAUAAUGAAAUAAGUUUCAUAGAAAAAAUGUAUCGCCUAGUAAUAAUUAUUUUAAAUUGAGGACAUGUUAUUACGAUGUUUUUUUUUAUUGAAAUAAAAAUGCAGCUUAUUUUAAACAUCUAUACUUUACGCAAGUUAAUCUAUACUUCCAAAAAAAAAAUUUACAGGCAUUUAGCAUGUUCACUACUAUUUAUGUUAAGAGAUUGUAUUACUUUCGCGGACACCGUAUUUAAAUUGCGUUUGUAAUUAUCGUAGUAAUAGUUAUAAACUAUAUAUAGACUACACAUCAUACACUUGAUGAGAUAUAUUAUUUCUAAAUUAAAACAUUCCGUUUGUUUACUCUUAUCAACUUCAAAUAUAAUUUUUGUUCUUUUUUUCCAUCUUUGUCCUCUUGUUUCAUCAAAAUUUUGAUAAAUUAUUGUAUGUAAACUAUGUUUGUAGGUAUGUAUAAUAUAUAUACAUAUAUAUGUAUCUAUAUAUAUUGGCGCUUUAAUUCACUAUUACUACACAUAAUUCUUGUUGUUGUAUCUUCAUAGUUAUAUAUAAAGUGAAUAUAUACGUGUGUGUGUUUACAUUUCGUUUUCACCUAUUCAAUUUUACUCAUUUACACACUUCAAAAAUUGAUAUAGCAAUGUAUAUGUUUGUAUAUUAU